This 317-nucleotide ribosomal RNA is filed under the name Devario regina. RNAcentral's name for it is "partial 12S ribosomal RNA". It matches the Rfam family "Bacterial small subunit ribosomal RNA", at positions 868 to 1348 of the family's 1533-position model. The record is from RNAcentral. Lineage: Eukaryota; Metazoa; Chordata; Actinopteri; Cypriniformes; Danionidae.
UCCGCCAGGACACUACGAGCACUAGCUUAAAACCCAAAGGACCUGACGGUGCCUUAGAUCCCCCUAGAGGAGCCUGUUCUAGAACCGAUUAUCCCCGUUAAACCUCACCACCCCUAGCAAUAUCAGCCUAUAUACCACCGUCGCCAGCUUACCCUGUGAAGGCAUAAAAGUAAGCACAAUGGGUAAAACCCAAUACGUCAGGUCGAGGUGUAGCAAAUGGAGUGGGAAGAAAUGGGCUACAUUUUCUAUCACAGAAUAAAACGGAUACGCAACAUGAAAUUUUAAUGCUUGAAGGAGGAUUUAGUAGUAAAAGGGAA